GAUCAUGGACUCAGGAUGAACGCUGGCGGCGUGCCUAACACAUGCAAGUCGAACGGAGUCGUUUUGGAAAAUCCUUCGGGAUUGGAAUUCUCGACUUAGUGGCGGACGGGUGAGUAACGCGUGAGCAAUCUGCCUUCAAGAGGGGGAUAACAGUCGGAAACGGCUGCUAAUACCGCAUAAAGCAUCAAAUUCGCAUGUUUUUGAUGCCAAAGGAGCAAUCCGCUUUUA
RNAcentral lists this ribosomal RNA (228 nucleotides) under uncultured bacterium. RNAcentral describes it as "partial 16S ribosomal RNA". It matches the Rfam family "Bacterial small subunit ribosomal RNA", at positions 15 to 223 of the family's 1533-position model. The record is from RNAcentral.